GACAGAGGGGGCAAGCGUUGCUCGGAAUCACUGGGCGUAAAGGGCGCGUAGGCGGGAUGGCAAGUCAGUCGUGAAAUCUCUCGGCUCAACCGAGAAACGUCGGCUGAUACUGCCGUUCUUGAGGGAUGCAGAGGAGACUGGAAUUCCCGGUGUAGCGGUGAAAUGUGUAGAUAUCUGGAGGAACACCGGUGGCGAAGGCGGCAUCCUGGACCGGCAUUGACGCUGAGGCGCGAAAGCUAGGGGAGCAAACGGG
Molecule: ribosomal RNA, 253 nt
Filed under: uncultured bacterium
Lineage: Bacteria
Description: partial 16S ribosomal RNA
Rfam family: Bacterial small subunit ribosomal RNA
Source: RNAcentral